UACGUAGGUGGCAAGCGUUGUCCGGAAUCACUGGGCGUAAAGGGUGCGUAGGCGGGUCUUUAAGUCAGGGGUGAAAUCCUGGAGCUCAACUCCAGAACUGCCUUUGAUACUGAAGAUCUUGAGUUCGGGAGAGGUGAGUGGAACUGCGAGUGUAGAGGUGAAAUUCGUAGAUAUUCGCAAGAACACCAGUGGCGAAGGCGGCUUACUGGUCCGGUUCUGACGCUGAGGCGCGAAAGCGUGGGGAGCAAACAGG
Molecule: ribosomal RNA, 253 nt
Filed under: uncultured bacterium
Lineage: Bacteria
Description: partial 16S ribosomal RNA
Rfam family: Bacterial small subunit ribosomal RNA
Source: RNAcentral